Long non-coding RNA from Wyeomyia smithii (pitcher-plant mosquito), 670 nucleotides. RefSeq lists it as uncharacterized. Lineage: Eukaryota; Metazoa; Arthropoda; Insecta; Diptera; Culicidae. The transcript has 2 exons. The record is from RefSeq and is a predicted model, not a curated record.
UUCACACCAGUAGUAUUGUGUAACUGGUCGCGUUCUGUUGUUAAAGCGUUUCUCUGGUGUUAUGAGCGUACUAUUUUAGUGACGUACACCUGUUUUUUUUCCAAUUUGCAAAACAAAUCCAAGCUCUUUUAUUCAAAAUUAAAGUUCUUUCAAACUACAUUUCAAAAGGAAAAACUAACUAGAAUAUUAUGGAAAAGGAUCGACCGCCUAGUAUUAAAUGCGAGGAUUUCAGUAAUGAUGAACCAGAAGCCGCUGAUUCAUAUAAUGGUAAUUUUUUAUUGGUCACUCAUCACCAUAAAACCAAACCAGUUAAACAAAAAUGAACAAUGCGUAAGUUGCAAAUUGAGCCUAAUAAUUCACGGUAAUGACACGGUGGUAAUUUUCUGCAAAAACAAAUCUGGAUAUUGGAAUUUGUUUGUUGACAAACAAUAACCUAUGUUACAAAGUGAGUGGUUGAGUUUAAAUGGAUAAAAAUAUCUACACAUAGUUUUGGACGUUUUGAUGAUUUAUGCUAAUAAGAACACUGAACAGUUUGAUAGAGAAUUUUUUACCUUUGAGCAUCUUUGUAAUGUGUAUUGAUACUGUAUUCUUUGAAAUAUAUACAAUUCGGGUAAGAUCUUUACAAAAAAAUAUGCAGCUAUUUUCUUUAAAUAAAUAUGAAUUUCAUGUA